RNAcentral lists this ribosomal RNA (390 nucleotides) under Phaseolus vulgaris (common bean). Its description in RNAcentral is "28S ribosomal RNA". It matches the Rfam family "Eukaryotic large subunit ribosomal RNA", at positions 255 to 646 of the family's 3401-position model. The record is from RNAcentral. Lineage: Eukaryota; Viridiplantae; Streptophyta; Magnoliopsida; Fabales; Fabaceae.
UGUCGGCGANUCGGGUUGUUUGGGAAUNCACCCCCAAUCGGGCGGUAAAUUCCGNCCAAGGCUAAAUACUGACGAGAGACCGAUAGCGAACAAGUACCGCGAGGGAAAGAUGAAAAGGACUUUGAAAAGAGAGUCAAAGAGUGCUUGAAANUGUCGGGAGGGAANCGGAUGGGGNCCGNCGAUNUGUCCCGGUCGGAUGUGGNACGGUGUGAGCCGGUCCCCCGAUCGACUCGGGACAUUGACCGACGCGGAUUGCAGCGGUGNCCCAAGCCCGGNCUCUUGAUAUGCUCGUGGAGACGUCAUCGCUGCGAUUGUGGACGGCAGCGCGCGCCUCAUGGCGUGCNUCGGCACGUGCGCGCUCCGGGCGUCGNCCUGUGGGCUCCCCAUUNG